Molecule: long non-coding RNA, 1195 nt
Filed under: Capra hircus (goat)
Lineage: Eukaryota; Metazoa; Chordata; Mammalia; Artiodactyla; Bovidae
Description: lncRNA (ENSCHIG00000007894.1)
Source: RNAcentral
GGCUCCCCUUUAUUUAUUUUAUUUUAUUUACUUUAUUUCAGAUGGUAAAGAAUCUUCCUGCAAUGCAGGAGACCCAGGUUCAAUUCUUGGGUCAGGAAAAUCCCCUGGAGAAGGGAAUGGCAACAACCCACUUCAGUAUUCUUGCCUGAAGAAUUCCAUGGACAGAGGAUCCUGGCAGGCUAUAGUCUCUGGGGUCAAAAAGAAUUGGACAUGACUGAGCAAGUAACACUAAGUGAAAUAUCACUGCCAGGGAGAACAACACAGCAAGACAGCAGGAGAGAGAUCAGAGAACAUCCUUCACCCACAGACGUCUUAAACCAUAAAGACAAUGGUUUGGAUGGCUUGAGAACAGCAGUGCCUUUAAACUAAUAGCAAAUCAUCUCAAUAAGAAAAACUAAUGCGGUUCAUUCUUCCCUGGGAGUCUACAGUCCUACUGUGGUCAGCAAACUAAACAAGCCAAGAAGGGAAACCAACACAUUCUGCAGUGCUUAGACUAACUGGAAAUUCAGACCUGAGUGGACAUUUAGAAAGACGGGAAUUUCGCUGGAGGAUUGCAUUUUGUGUGGGUCAAAUUUCCUUCAAGAUUCAAAGAAAGAUGCAUUGGCAGUUCCUCAUAUUAUGAAAGUAAGAAUCUCAUAGUUCUUAGACAUUUCUAAGAAAUGAAGUUUCAACCAACUAAUGCAUUAGAGACAAGCAAAAAUGCUUCCAUUCUGGUCCUUGUCACUGGUUAAGAAUCAAGUGGGUGGGGGUGGGGUGGGAUAGAUUAAUUAAUGAAUCUUAGUAGAAAGGUUAUGGUGUGUUCCCUGAACCAGUCUUUCAAAAUGAGCCCUUUUCAGAUCUUUCUAAAUUGAUAUGAAUAUAGAUUUAUUAAAUACUACGGUAUAAAUCACACUUCAUUUUACUGCACUUUGCCUCACUGUGCUUUGUAGAUACUGUGUUUUUCGCAAAUUGAAGGUCUGUGGUAACCCCCACCUCUAACAAGUCUGUUAGUCCUGCUUUCCAGCAGCAUUUGCUCACUUCACGUUUCUGUGUCACAUUUCAGUGGUUUUGAUGCUUUCUCAUUGUUAUCCUUGGUGUGGUGACCCGUAAUCUGAUUACUACUAUCAUGACUCGCUGAAGCCUCAGAUGAGGGUUAGAAGGUAUGGAUGUUAUUUUUUAGACAUAAAGCUACUGCACACGUAAUGCUGUUAUACAC